Molecule: ribosomal RNA, 406 nt
Filed under: uncultured bacterium
Lineage: Bacteria
Description: partial 16S ribosomal RNA
Rfam family: Bacterial small subunit ribosomal RNA
Source: RNAcentral
AUUGAACGCUGGCGGCAGGCCUAACACAUGCAAGUCGAACGAGUGGCGGACGGGUGAGUAAUGUCUGGGAAACUGCCUGAUGGAGGGGGAUAACUACUGGAAACGGUAGCUAAUACCGCAUACCAUCAGAUGUGCCCAGAUGGGAUUAGCUAGUUGGUGGGGUAACGGCUCACCAAGGCGACGAUCCCUAGCUGGUUUGAGAGGAUGACCAUCAACACUGGAACUGGGACACGGUCCAGAUUCCUAAGGGAGGGAGCAGUGGGGAAAAUUGGACAGUGGGCGCAAGCCUGAUGCAGCCAUGCCGCGUGUAUUAAGAAGGCCUUCGGGUUGUAAAGUACUUUCAGCGGGGAGGCGUUACUCGCAGAAGAAGCACCGGCUAACUCCGUGCCAGCAGCCGCGGUAAUAC